RNAcentral lists this ribosomal RNA (467 nucleotides) under uncultured bacterium. RNAcentral's name for it is "partial 16S ribosomal RNA". It matches the Rfam family "Bacterial small subunit ribosomal RNA", at positions 28 to 507 of the family's 1533-position model. The record is from RNAcentral.
GACGAACGCUGGCGGCGUGCUUAACACAUGCAAGUCGAACGGAAAGGCCUCUUUCGGGGGGUACUCGAGUGGCGAACGGGUGAGUAACACGUGAGUAACCUGCCCUUGACUUUGGGAUAACUUCAGGAAACUGGGGCUAAUACCGGAUAGGAGCUCCUGCUGCAUGGUGGGGGUUGGAAAGUUUCGGCGGUUGGGGAUGGACUCGCGGCGUAUCAGCUUGUUGGUGGGGUAGUGGCUUACCAAGGCGUUGACGGGUAGCCGGCCUGAGAGGGUGACCGGGCACAUUGGGACUGAGAUACGGGCCAGACUCCUACGGGAGGAAGCAGGGGGGGAUAUUGCACAAUGGGUGGAAGCCUGAUGCAGCAACGCCGUGUGCGGGAUGACGGCCUUCGGGUUGUAAACCGCUUUCGCUCAUGACGAAGCUUUGUGUGACGGUAGUGGGUAAAGAAGCACCGGCUAACUACGUG